CUUUAGAAAUUUGGAGAUCUCAAGGAAUAAAUAAAGUUUCACAGAUAUUAAACUCAGAUGAAAUAUUGCCUUUUGAUAUUAUAAUACAAAAAUACCAUCUCCCUCAACGAGAGUUAUUUACAUACUUGAGGCUUAAACAUUUUCUGCAGAAACAUCUUAUUAAAGAUUCUAGAAAAUCGCAUAUAAUGAUAAAACGCAUAUUUUCAAAUCAGAAUAUAUCGAAAGUUUUAGCUAAAGCAAUAGAGAUAAUCAGAAAUACUAAUGAGGUAGCUAAUUUUCCCCAGAAGACUAAAUGGGAAAAAGAUUUGAAGUGUUCUUUAGAACAAGAAGAUUGGUGUAAAGCUAUAAAUAAUACUCGCCGACAGGUCCAAUGUUUAAAUUUAUUAGAAACUUAUUAUAAGGUUAUGUAUAGAUGGUAUUUAGUUCCUAGCAAGCAAUCUCAGAUGUAUCCUGGAGUUACCUCUAGAUGUUGGAGAUGCGAUAAAGAGGAGGGAUCAUUCCUCCACAUUUGGUGGAGUUGUUCAAACAUUCAGACCUCUAUUAAGAGACUGAUAGGAUUUAUUAGAGAUAAUACUGGAAUAGAAUUAGAAAAGAAACCAGAGGUAGUCUUGUUACACAUGCAUUGGCCGAAUAUGUCAUAUAUAAAUAGUUGUUUUAUAAUUCACUGUCUUACUGCAUUUAAAAUUGUUCUUGCACGGAACUGGUCACGGAAUCAAGUAGUUUAUUGGGACGCCAUUAAAGAUCAAAUCAUCCUUCAGAUGAGGAUGGAAAGAGACCUAAGUAUACCGUAUUUGAAUUCCCCAAAAAGAAGGGAUCUAUGGCAAAGAUGGGUUAAUAAAAUAGAACCUACUAUAUAAAUUAAACAGAUACCUAUUAGAUCUGG
This 883-nucleotide long non-coding RNA is filed under the name Pelobates cultripes (western spadefoot toad). Lineage: Eukaryota; Metazoa; Chordata; Amphibia; Anura; Pelobatidae. The record is from RNAcentral.